UAACGCAUGGGAAUCUGCCCUUAGGUACGGAAUAACUCAGGGAAACUUGAGCUAAUACCGUAUAAUGACUCCGGUCCAAAGAUUUAUCGCCUAGGGAUGAGCCCGCGUCGGAUUAGCUAGUUGGUGAGGUAAAGGCUCACCAAGGCGACGAUCCGUAGCUGGUCUGAGAGGAUGAUCAGCCACACUGGGACUGAGACACGGCCCAGACUCCUACGGGAGGCAGCAGUGGGGAAUAUUGGACAAUGGGCGAAAGCCUGAUCCAGCAAUGCCGCGUGAGUGAUGAAGGCCUUAGGGUUGU
This 298-nucleotide ribosomal RNA is filed under the name uncultured Sphingomonadaceae bacterium. Its description in RNAcentral is "partial 16S ribosomal RNA". It matches the Rfam family "Bacterial small subunit ribosomal RNA", at positions 111 to 426 of the family's 1533-position model. The record is from RNAcentral. Lineage: Bacteria; Pseudomonadati; Pseudomonadota; Alphaproteobacteria; Sphingomonadales; Sphingomonadaceae.